GUGCUGGUGGUUCAGUGGUAGAAUUCUCCCCUUCCAUGGGGAAGAUCCUGGUUUGAUUCCCAGCUAACAUA
RNAcentral lists this transfer RNA (71 nucleotides) under Loxodonta africana (African savanna elephant). It matches the Rfam family "tRNA". Rfam says of the family: Transfer RNA (tRNA) molecules are approximately 80 nucleotides in length. Their secondary structure includes four short double-helical elements and three loops (D, anti-codon, and T loops). Lineage: Eukaryota; Metazoa; Chordata; Mammalia; Proboscidea; Elephantidae. The record is from Rfam by way of RNAcentral.